RNAcentral lists this ribosomal RNA (253 nucleotides) under uncultured bacterium. Its description in RNAcentral is "partial 16S ribosomal RNA". It matches the Rfam family "Bacterial small subunit ribosomal RNA", at positions 524 to 776 of the family's 1533-position model. The record is from RNAcentral.
UACAGAGGUCCCGAGCGUUGUUCGGAUUCAUUGGGCGUAAAGGGUGCGUAGGCGGCGGGGCAAGUCUGAUGUGAAAUCCCGGGGCUCAACCCCGGAACUGCAUUGGAUACUGCCUUGCUUGAGUACUGGAGAGGGAACUGGAAUUUACGGUGUAGCAGUGAAAUGCGUAGAGAUCGUAAGGAAGGCCGGUGGCGAAGGCGAGUUCCUGGACAGUUACUGACGCUGAGGCACGAAGGCCAGGGGAGCAAACGGG